Molecule: ribosomal RNA, 494 nt
Filed under: uncultured bacterium
Lineage: Bacteria
Description: partial 16S ribosomal RNA
Rfam family: Bacterial small subunit ribosomal RNA
Source: RNAcentral
GACGAACGCUGGCGGCGCGCUUAACACAUGCAAGUCGAACGGAAAGGCCUGCUUUCCCUUGUGGUUUGCGGGUACUCGGGUGGCUAACGGGUGAGUAACACGUGAGUGAUCUGCCCACAACUUGGGUAUAAGCCUGGGAAACUGGGUCUAAUUCCCGAUAGGACUGCAGGGUGGUGGCUGUGGUGGAAGACGAGUUUCGAGUGGUUGGGGAUGCGCUCGCGGCGUAUCAGCGUGUUGGUGGGGUGAUGUCCUACCAAGGCGGCGACGGGUAGCCGGCCGGAGAGGCUGGACGGCCACAUUGGGACUCAGAUACGGCCCAGACUCCUACGGGAGGCAGCAGUGGGGAAUAGUGCACAAUGGGCGGAAGCCUGAUGCAGCGACGCCGCGUGGGGGAUGACGGCCUUCGGGUGGUAAACUCCUUUCGACCGCGAGGAAGCCACCUGGUUGGAAGGGUGGUGACGGUAGUGGUAGAAGAAGCACCGGCUAACUACGUG